GAUGAACGCUAGCUACAGGCUUAACACAUGCAAGUCGAGGGGAAACGACAUCGAAAGCUUGCUUUUGAUGGGCGUCGACCGGCGCACGGGUGAGUAACGCGUAUCCAACCUGCCCACCACUUGGGGAUAACCUUGCGAAAGUAAGACUAAUACCCAAUGAUAUCCCACGAAGACAUCUGAAUGGGAUUAAAGAUUUAUCGGUGAUGGAUGGGGAUGCGUCUGAUUAGCUUGUUGGCGGGGUAACGGCCCACCAAGGCAACGAUCAGUAGGGGUUCUGAGAGGAAGGUCCCCCACAUUGGAACUGAGACACGGUCCAAACUCCUACGGGAGGCAGCAGUGAGGAAGAUUGGUCAAUGGGCGAGAGCCUGAACCAGCCAAGUAGCGUGCAGGAAGACGGCCCUAUGGGUUGUAAACUGCUUUUAUAAGGGAAUAAAGUGGGUCACGUGUGACUUUUUGCAUGUACCUUAUGAAUAAGGACCGGCUAAUUCCGUG
RNAcentral lists this ribosomal RNA (492 nucleotides) under uncultured bacterium. RNAcentral describes it as "partial 16S ribosomal RNA". It matches the Rfam family "Bacterial small subunit ribosomal RNA", at positions 28 to 507 of the family's 1533-position model. The record is from RNAcentral.